GCCUGUGUGGCCGAGUGGUUCUAGGCGCUUCAGUUCGGAACCGCACGACCGCAGGUUCGAAUCCUGCCUCGGGCA
Molecule: non-coding RNA, 75 nt
Organism: Schistocerca serialis cubense
Lineage: Eukaryota; Metazoa; Arthropoda; Insecta; Orthoptera; Acrididae
Source: the annotation of a RefSeq genome assembly